CUCCCCUUUGCAGGUCCAGCCCAUCUUCUGUUUCACCUGGAGUAGGUGGAAAAAUACCACAGUAAUGGGCAUGUGGGUUUCAGGUCAGAUAGGUUCUAAUUAUUCCUUUGUAGUGUUUGCUCACAAGUAGGGAACAGGUGUAUUAUUCAUCUUGCUGGAAGCAAGGAGUUUCCUCCAGAGACUUUCCAGCUCCGGGCUCCCCUCGGGAUCCCAGCUUUCCUGGGCUAAAGGAGGGCUCUGCACAUUUUGUCUCACCUGCCCAGGUGAUGUUCUCUUUGCCUGAGGUCCCUCAGUCCAAUCCCUGCCUCAUUUGGGUGCUAGCAGGGAUUUAGUGCAGUGCUGCUGUUUGAAGCUUCAUAGCUUGGACUUCACUCUUAAUCCUUGCCUCGUAUUUCAUGUGUUUUCCACCUGCAUGCUGAGCUGGGAGAAAUGAACUUCCUGGUGCUUUUUUCCAGCAGGGCUCUUGCCUGAACAGUUCUUGGUUUGUCUUGCACCAAUUACCAGCUUCCAGUGGAAUUCUGUUGGCUGCUUGCAAGGAAAGGAAGGAAAACAUUCUCCACUCAGUUCCUCACACCUUCUGAAAAGAUGGAAGAGGCUGACAGUGUGCUACGAGGAGGUCAAAGCUGGGAAUCCACAGAUGGAGGGUGCAAAACAUAGCCAAAACCCCAGCAAGUUUCUGGCUCACAAUGGAUUGUGAAUAGAAGGAAUAAACAAUAAAGAGAAUCCUUAAAAACCCUCCA
RNAcentral lists this long non-coding RNA (740 nucleotides) under Cyanistes caeruleus (blue tit). RNAcentral describes it as "lncRNA (ENSCCEG00000007410.1)". The record is from RNAcentral. Lineage: Eukaryota; Metazoa; Chordata; Aves; Passeriformes; Paridae.